AUUAAACGCUGGCGGCAUGCCUUACACAUGCAAGUCGAACGGCAGCACGGGGGCAACCCUGGUGGCGAGUGGCGGACGGGUGAGUAAAGCAUCGGAACGUAUCCUGGAGUGGGGGGAUAACGUAGCGAAAGUUACGCUAAUACCGCAUAUUCUGUGAGCAGGAAAGCAGGGGAUCGCAAGACCUUGCGCUCUGGGAGCGGCCGAUGUCGGAUUAGCUAGUUGGUGGGGUAAAGGCCUACCAAGGCGACGAUCCGUAGCGGGUCUGAGAGGAUGAUCCGCCACACUGGGACUGAGACACGGCCCAGACUCCUACGGGAGGCAGCAGUGGGGAAUUUUGGACAAUGGGCGGAAGCCUGAUCCAGCCAUGCCGCGUGAGUGAAGAAGGCCUCGG
Molecule: ribosomal RNA, 391 nt
Filed under: uncultured bacterium
Lineage: Bacteria
Description: bacterial SSU rRNA
Rfam family: Bacterial small subunit ribosomal RNA
Source: RNAcentral